AGAGUUUGAUCCUGGCUCAGGAUGAACGCUAGCGACAGGCCUAACACAUGCAAGUCGAGGGGCAUCGGGACGUAGCAAUACGUUGCCGGCGACCGGCGGAUGGGUGAGUAACGCGUAUGCAACCUACCCGUAGCAGGGGGAUAGCCCGUUGAAAGACGGAUUAAUACCCCGUAACACAGGGGCUCCGCAUGGAGAUUAUUGUUAAAGGGUCAUUUCUUUUUCAGGGAUGGUCCGGCUGCGGAUGGGCAUGCGUUCCAUUAGGUAGUUGGUGUAGGUAACUGCUCACCAAGCCGACGAUGGAUAGGGGAACUGAGAGGUUGGUCCCCCACACUGGUACUGAGACACGGACCAGACUCCUACGGGAGGCAGCAGUGAGGAAUUUUGGUCAAUGGACGCAAGUCUGAACCAGCCAUGUCGCGUGAAGGAGGACGGCCCUAAGGGUUGUAAACUUCUUUUGCAGUGGAAUAAAGUUUGCCACGUGUUGGCGAUUUGCAAGUACGCUGCGAAUAAGGAUCGGCUAACUCCGUGCCAGCAGCCGCGGUAAU
Molecule: ribosomal RNA, 545 nt
Filed under: uncultured bacterium
Lineage: Bacteria
Description: bacterial SSU rRNA
Rfam family: Bacterial small subunit ribosomal RNA
Source: RNAcentral